Molecule: long non-coding RNA, 1321 nt
Filed under: Chrysemys picta bellii (western painted turtle)
Lineage: Eukaryota; Metazoa; Chordata; Testudines; Emydidae
Description: lncRNA (ENSCPBG00000014622.1)
Source: RNAcentral
AGGGAGAAAAAUUGUUCUUCUUAACCUCUGAGGAUAGGACAAGAAGCAACGGGCUUAAAUUGCAGCAGGGGAGGUUUAGGUUGGACAUUAGGAAAAACUUCCUAACUGUCAGGGUGGUUAAGCACUGGAAUAAAUUGCCUGGGGAGAUUGUGGAAUCUCCAUCAUUGGAGAGGUUUAAGAGCAGGUUGGACAAACACCUGUCAGGGAUGAUCUAGAUCAUACUUAGUCCUACCAUGAGUGCAGGGGACUGGACUAGGUGACCUCUCGAGGUCCCUUCCAGUCCUAUGAUGCUAUGAUUGCCCAGAUGGGGAACUGGGGCCCAAGGGACUUGCCCGCGGUCACAUAGGAAGGCUGGUGUAGAACAGGGACUAGUACCCCUGUUAUAGACUAGUGCUCUAACCACUGGGCAGCCCAUCCUCUCACCCCCUUUGCUUCCUGCUCUCCUGCCCUCCAGUUCUUCCUCCCCUUUUCCUGGGCUCCAUGGGGAGCAUCUGGGAGAGGCUUGGUGCAGACCAAGGCGGGCUCCUGGCAACACGCCCUCCCUGGCUGGGGAAGCGACUGGCGAAGGCAAUAGCGAUGUAGGGACCCCCCCAACGCUGCCCCAGCAGCAGCCGAAGUGAGCUGGGGAGGCCGGGAGCCCGGGAGGGAGGGGAGGGAACUCUCCCAGCCCACCUUAAGCCGGCAACGUAGGGCUGAUUCAGGCAGGCAGGGAUGACCUUAGAAAAACAAGUUUGUGCGGAGCCAGGCAGGGCCCCGCCGCACCAGCCCGGCAAGCUACCUUAAAUCGGGGCUGGGCUGAGAGCCGGGGGGUGGGGGGUGUUCUCGGCACUGGCGCGCGGUGCAAGCAGUCCUGCCUGCUAGGCAACGGGGGGAGGCGGGUGUCUGCACAGCUCCAGCCGCAGCAGCUGGGAACCGGAGCGGGAGACAGGGCGGCCGCAGGAGCCGGGCUGCAGGUCCGCGCGCUGCCUCUCCCGGGGGCGCCCAGGGCGCGCGGCUGCAGCGCCCCGGGGCUGAGCGCUCCCCCUGCGGCUGGCUGCCCCGGUGCGCCCCGGCAGCCGCGGGCUCCCGGCUGCUCCCCGCCGCCGCGGGGGCGUUGCAGCGGCUGGUUCGCAGGGGUCGCCGCGCCCGGGAUUUGGACCGCGCCUGGGCAGAGCCCACCGCCUGCGGCAGGCGCCAGCGAUGGAGGCUCUCGCCAGCCCUGCCCGCUGGGUGCCCUACGUGCUGCUCCUCGCCCUGCACGGCUGGCCGGGUAAGUGCUGCUGUUGGGUCCUGUCUGGAUCCCGGCCCCCGCCCCCCUCUCUUCCUUUCCCUGGUGUCUGGU